Portunus trituberculatus (swimming crab) is the source of this 342-nucleotide long non-coding RNA. RefSeq lists it as uncharacterized. NCBI's taxonomy places the organism in Eukaryota, Metazoa, Arthropoda, Malacostraca, Decapoda, Portunidae. The transcript has 2 exons. The record is from RefSeq and is a predicted model, not a curated record.
GGCGGGACAGGUGGGCGGGUCAGUGGGGGAAUAAGGAGACGGGAGGAAGAGGGUCCCCGUCCGCGAUCGCCGUCGAAGUCCGAGUCAGUGUCGCUCCGGCAUCGGCGGCGGGAGGUUGCAUCUCUCUCUCUGUCUCUCCCUCUCUCACUCUCUCCCUCGCUCUCACGCCUCUCACAGUCACGCGCGGCGGACUUCAGAUCUAUCUCGCAAAAAUGAAAGAAUCGAAGAGAAAACGGACCUGAAACUCAUGCUCUUAGGGGAACAUUAAUAGAAACUGCCGCACCUCCUCUAAUAACCCGUGGCGGCAGGAGUGAGGCAGAAAGACCCUUACGAUAAGGAGAG